UACGUAGGGUGCGAGCGUUGUCCGGAAUUAUUGGGCGUAAAGAGCUCGUAGGCGGUUUGUUGCGUCUAUCGUGAAAACCUGCAGCUUAACUGUGGGCUUGCGGUGGAUACGGGCAGACUUGAGUUCGGUAGGGGAGACUGGAAUUCCUGGUGUAGCGGUGAAAUGCGCAGAUAUCAGGAGGAACACCGGUGGCGAAGGCGGAUCUCUGGGCCUUACCUGACGCUGAGGCGCGAAAGCUAGGGGAGCGAACAGG
RNAcentral lists this ribosomal RNA (253 nucleotides) under uncultured bacterium. RNAcentral's name for it is "partial 16S ribosomal RNA". It matches the Rfam family "Bacterial small subunit ribosomal RNA", at positions 524 to 776 of the family's 1533-position model. The record is from RNAcentral.